RNAcentral lists this ribosomal RNA (728 nucleotides) under Albula glossodonta (roundjaw bonefish). Its description in RNAcentral is "partial 12S ribosomal RNA". It matches the Rfam family "Bacterial small subunit ribosomal RNA", at positions 298 to 1399 of the family's 1533-position model. The record is from RNAcentral. Lineage: Eukaryota; Metazoa; Chordata; Actinopteri; Albuliformes; Albulidae.
CCUUGCUUAGCCACACCCCCAAAGGGGCCCGAAGGGGUUCCGCAUUGAUAGACAUUAAGCUAUGAGUGAAAGCUCGACUUAGUUAGGGCCAAGAGAGCCGGUAAAACUCGUGCCAGCCACCGCGGUUAUACGAGAGGCUCAAGUUGAUGUCCGCCGGCGUAAAGAGUGAUUACAGGAGUGUGUAUAACUAAAGCCGAAGACCUCCUGGGCUGUUUUACGCAUCUGGGGGCUAUUAAGCCCUUUAACGAAGGUAUCUUUAAAAGAUUACAUCCUCGAGUUCACGAUAGCUAAGGCACAAACUGGGAUUAGAUACCCCACUAUGCUUACGCUUAAACCUUGAUAAUAUGAUACAGAUAUUAUCCGCCAGGGGACUACAAGCGCUAGCUUAAAACCCAAAGGACUUGGCGACACCUUAGAUCCCCCUAGAGGAGCCCGUUCUAUAACCGAUGAACCUCGUUUAACCUCACCAUCCCUUUGUAAACCCAGCCUAUAUACCGCCGUCGUCAGCUUACCUUGUGAGGGAUUAGUAGUAAGCUUAAUGGGUAGAGCCCAGAACGUCAGGUCGAGGUGUAGCUAAUGGGGUGGGAAGAAAAUGGGCUACAUUUUCUGGUUCAGAAUACUACGGAUAAUGCUUUGAAACAGGCAUUGUGAAGGUGGAUUAAGCAGUAAAGAGUGAAGUAGAGUGUCCUGUUGAAGCUGGCUUUAAGGCACGCACACACCGCCCGUCA